GGAGGGAGGCAGGGGAGGGAGGCAGGCUGGCCUUUUCUCCUAACGCUACUCAAGGUUGAGAGUCACUUCCACUCCGUGUGAGCCCCUGGAUGUGGGGGUGGGGCGUGAGGGUCCCCUCCUGAGGCCUUAGGCCCCUUGCAGAGGGCUUAGGCCCUGCCCAGGGCCUUCCUGGUGGCGUUGUCCUUGAUGACGCUGCCAGGCCCACCGCUGGCCGCCAAGGCCCCAGAGGGAGCCGGCAGCCUGUGCCUGUCUCCCCCCUUCUCUCCUCUGGAUGGAAAACGGGAGGUCGUAGAUGUGGCAGGUUCAUUGACUAGAAAAUACAGUCCAAACCCGCAGAUGAAACUCAGCCGACUGGCACAAUAACAUUUUUUAUUGCUUUGCUCUUCGUGGGUGAGACGGAGGUCCUAGUGUCUGUGGGACGUGACUCCCAGGGUCCCUCCACCGUGGCAUUGCUGGUGGCCCUGCUGGCCUUGGCCUGACCCAGUGUGGUUCUGAAAAGUCCCCCUGGGGUGGGUCAGCUCUGCAGGGUCCAACUAAGCUGGAGGGCAGGAUGGGAAACAGAGGCCCAGAGAGCUUCUGUCCCUUAUCAGAGGUCAUAGUGGGGCUUCUGGGGCUGAGGUUUUAUGGGGUGGGUACUGGGGAUGGAACUCGGGGGCACUCGGCCCCGGAGCCGCACCCCGAGCCCUGUUUUGUAUUUUAUUGAGAGUCAGGGUCUCACUGGGUUGGUUAGCGCCUCUCCGUUGCUGAGGCUGGCUUCAACUGGUGAUCCUCCUGCCUCAGCCUCUGGAGCCACAGGGAUGGGGUGUGAGUUUUUAAGGAUUCUGCAAAAAAUAUCUGAGACCUUAAAAUAUUUAUUGUCCACCAAAUGGGAAAAGAAAACUGCAAAGUUUAGAUUAAUAAAUGUCGACUGUCUACAAAAUGGACACGAGGCCAGCUGCACUGAUCACUGUGUUUGGUGUAUACUUGUGUCACCGCGUGUGACAGCAACUCCUCAGCUUCACACGGUCGGUGUUCCCGAGCAGGCAGAGCCCAGGCGAGGGUGUGGCCAGCUACCCGUUAACCAGCACCUGGAGCCGGACAAUUCCAAGAGCACGAUGUAGAAGUGUUCUAUUUAAUGGGGCCGUUGGCCCGUCUGUGCUGAACCAGGAACCCUGACCCUCCUGCGCCACGGGCCUGGCCGGUCCACCUGCCUGGGCGCUGGUGAGGUUCACCCAGGGCCAGCCCAGCACCUUCACCACGGCGAGGAGGAGGCGGGCGAGAGCCUGGAGGUCCCUGCACAGCCUCCUGCCCCUGCCUUCGCAGCCAGGGCUUCACAGCCGGCUGCCACCUGCCACCAAGGAAAGUCUCCUGGAGUCAGACGCGGACUGCAAGCCAGUGACCUGGGCCUGUCGGAUCAAAGCCACAGGCUUGACCGGGGGACAGCAAGGUCCUGGGAGAAGGCUACUGGGCUGCUACAUUUGGCCUGGCCCUGGCUGGACAGAAGUGUCUUGAAACCACCCCAUAAAAGAAUGCCCAUGACUGGACCCGUGGCCUCUCCCCAGUUCAGCAUGAGGUCUUUGGUUCUGCCGUGGGACGCUGUGUGACCUUGGGUGAGGCACUUUUCCUCUCUGAGCCUCAGUUCUUGACAACUGAAAGGAAUGGAUCAUCCCCUUGAAUUGUGGGAGCAAGAAGAAGUCUGUAAGCGAGAUCUCCCAUUGUAUGGCUGAAAAGAAUGAGGUGCCGAGAGAAGGCAUCUGCCCCGGGAGAGGGGACAAGAGGGAGGCCGAGCCCCGCUCGAUUCCCACCGUGCAACCCCACUUCCCAUUUCCGUUUCUCCUCCCCUCACCUCUCUCCAGGGCAGUACCCAAAUCCCCCUCAGGAGGGGUCUCUGCUGCCCCUCCCCCAGCCCUGAGUGACUGCUGGGC
RNAcentral lists this long non-coding RNA (1904 nucleotides) under Marmota monax (woodchuck). Lineage: Eukaryota; Metazoa; Chordata; Mammalia; Rodentia; Sciuridae. The record is from RNAcentral.